This 253-nucleotide ribosomal RNA is filed under the name uncultured bacterium. RNAcentral describes it as "partial 16S ribosomal RNA". It matches the Rfam family "Bacterial small subunit ribosomal RNA", at positions 524 to 776 of the family's 1533-position model. The record is from RNAcentral.
UACGUAGGGUGCAAGCGUUAAUCGGAAUUACUGGGCGUAAAGCGUGCGCAGGCGGCUUUGCAAGACAGAUGUGAAAUCCCCGGGCUUAACCUGGGAACUGCAUUUGUGACUGCAUGGCUGGAGUGCGGCAGAGGGGGAUGGAAUUCCGCGUGUAGCAGUGAAAUGCGUAGAUAUGUGGAGGAACACCAAUGGCGAAGGCAGCCUUCUGGGCCAACACUGACGCUCAUGCACGAAAGCGUGGGGAGCAAACAGG